AUUAUUUUAAUUGCAAAAUGUUUGCUUUUCAGUUCCAUUUACUGGGUCAAAUCUUUGCUCAAGCAAGUGCCCACGUCAGCCGCUCAAGAACUGCAUAUAGCCCAUUAAAAGAGCAUUUAAUCCUCCGCUCUUAGGGAGGGUUCAGUGUCUUAUAUGCUAAUAUUCAUUACGCUGGGAGGAAAUCCCCCAGGACGCAGCCUGGCAAAGUUCCCUUGAAAGCAGAGGAGAGAUGCCAGUUCAGAGUGGGGGAAGAUCGGAUCUGUUGGCUCUGUUAAUAUCGGUGUGAUGAGCUUCUGACAAAGGCAGUAAGGGACAUUGGCUCCCAACUGCAAGUCUGUCUGAAUUUGAAGUCCUCCCUGGACUGGUGUUUUACAUGCUUCCUCCAAAGCUUUCGCCCUUGCACACUAGAAGUGUACUCCCACGACAUCUAAUAUUAAUGCUUGUCUCUGAGCCAAGAAAGAAAUGUUUCUGCCCAGCCUCCCUCUUAGAUUUACAAUGUCAAAAUCUCCUUGUCUCCCACUGGUUUUACCACCAGUGUGAGCUACGAGGCACGCUGAGUGCUGGCCCGGAGCAGGUCUCAGGCUGAGCACAGGCUGGCUGCGAAGGUGAGAUUUUCACCCACCUCCCCGUUCCCUCGAGCCCGUCCCGCAGACCUGCCAAGCACACCGCACCCGCCCGGGCAGCAGCACCAGAUCCGACAUCACCCUGAGAGCAUCCAUGGUGGAUCGAGGGCUGGAGGUGCGGGCUGGGCUUCCAGCCGAUCCCCUGUGCGGCAGGUUUCCACUUUUCUUCUCCGAAGCUGUCCGGCCUCAAUGUGUGCAGCUGGAGGGAUGCCCCCGCCAGCACUCAGAGGGACAAAACCGGAGCCGAAAGAGAGCCAGAAGGACAUCUUCUCUGCUAAGGUCAUACGUCUGCAGAACCUGGCGCUAGGCAAAGGUGCAUCUGGAAACACGGUGGCUGCGAUGACUCACUGCAUGAGGAAAUGGUGUCACUGCAGCAGGUCUGCUCCCUCACCUCCGACGCUGCUCCCAGCUCUAACACGCAUUUUUACCUUUUACUACCAAAAGUUUCAGACCAAGCCCCCCAAGAGCUGAAGCCCGAGUGUAACUCAGGUUCUGCAUAUGGGUCUGUUGGCAUCAAAGGAGCCAAGCGUGGCGAGCCCAUCCCUAUGUCCAGCCUGGGAUGUCAGCAGAAGAGCAGUGUGAGUGGUACCCGGGGCAGGCAAGGAUUACAGUGCAACACGUGGGUAGGAGUUUGCUAGCCCCAUGGUUUUUCUAUUCUUAUUUCUGUUCCCCUUGAACUCCCAGUCAACACCUUGGUGCAUAAAGGUAAUUCAUUAACCUGCAAGAAUGAUGUGGCCUAAACUUUCCCCUAGUCACUGCAACAGCUCACGGUCAUGCCGGUGUGUCGGGGACAGGCUCCCGGAGCAGUGCCAGCAACGCAGGGGAUGUGUACAUAGCUCCGCACCCUCCGAGCAGGGGCUCAGGGAGAGGGAGGGUUCCAGAGGGAUGAGGGAAUGGUGCAAAGUCCAGGAGAGCCCAGAGGCUAGCCUCAGAGUAUGGUCAGGGAAAGGACAACACACACCCCAGUUCACCUCGCUCGUACCUCCUGGAUUUCCCCGGUGGGGCAAUCCCCACCGCCCAAGAGAAAGUGCUGUGUAACCGUCAGGCUGAUGACAUAGAGGCACUGCUGCUUUGCAGCGUAAAAGCCAGCGAUGGGUUUUCUGAAGAGCAGGGAGCUGGUGUCGGUGGCGUUAGAUGUGUAAGACGGUACCAGGAGGUAUUUUGUUCCCCUCACAGGAAGGAGGGGUUUAGUGGACUCAUGGUGUUGGGUUUGGGACUCCAGACCAGACUGGGAGGACAAGUGCUACCGUGGUGGGACCAGCCAGGCUGUACCCCAUGGGAACGCCGAGGCAGGGCAGGUUGUGACAGGGUUGUGAGCGCUUGUGCAAGGCCAGGGAUAGUGCCAGAGCUGGAAGUGCAAUGAGAGGAGCCCUGAGCUCCACACCACCCGCAGGGCUGCAAAGUUCCCCAUGGGGCUGGAGUAAGCUCGUUCCCUCUCCAGUCCUUGCUUUGCCCAUCAGAAGGCAGCAGAAGUCAGUCCCAGCCAGGGCUGUGAGCAGACACCAGGAUUUCUACCUGACUCCGGGCACACGAGUGUCACCCAGGUUCCCCAAUGGAGAGGAGACAACUCAUCUAGCAGAAACGCUGUGACCGACCCAGCUUUCACGUAGCAGUGAACGGGCACUUUCCCUCUGGUCCUGGAGGACCCCGGGCUCAGUGAGGCUGCUGGAGGCCGUGCUAGCCCAGCACACUGCAGGGAGCCUUCAGCUGCUUUAUUCAUAGAAAUCCACCCUGCACAACAGCUCUGGACCUGCUGCCUCCCUGGCACCAGCCCAGAGAGGGUCUGUGCUCCGAGCAAACGAGCAGGUCAGCAAAGGCACCGCAGCCAAUGUCGCAGAGGGAGCGAUAACAUCUAGAUCAGCCAGUUGGUAGCAGAGAAAUCAAGUCAUUGGAGCAGGACAUCGUCACGUGCCCAGUUCUUCCUGCCGUACAAAUGAACACUGCGGUUUGGAUCCUGCAUCUUAUUUUCCAUAAACAUACCAGAUUUUGCAUCCCAGAUUUGCAGGAGAGCACUGCUGAGAUGGUGCUUUGAGCUCAAGUAUCAGCCUUAAAUCUGAGCUUUACUGAGACUUAGUCCCAGGUACAAAGCCUUCAACACUCAGUAAGUUCUAUAUGUGCACAAAAAUCGGUUGGAUCAGGAUUCUUAUGGCACACAGUGAACUAACUCGUCUGUUAUUUCUGAAUUCCUCUUUUUUUCCUUUUUUGCUUUGUUUUGAUUUUGAUUUAUUUUUCUGCUAUCAUAGGAAGCAGCUCAGAGAUGGGUUGUGACAUACCCUGGGCUAAUUCAGUGGAAAGCUUAUUUUCAAAAGGAAACAUUUGCCAUCUUGCUCCCAGCUUUGAUUUGCCUGUCCCUGCUCGCUUGCCAGAGCUUAUUCUGCGGCAUUAAUAGGAAAGUUUCUUUGCACGGAGCCAACCAGCUAUUGUGCCCAAGUGAUUUUCUUCAAGGAAUAAAAAGCACAUUCACUUUGUGCUCGAGGAGAUGACAUUUGUUUGAUUGGUGUGUUUGAGAGCUCGGUGGGGAAUACAGCAGAGAGAAAACAUUCUUGUGAGGAGCUAUUUCAAAAGAAAAGAAACAAGAAUCCAGGAGAGAUAAGAAAAUGAAUGUCUGCAAAAUCUGGGAAAGCCUCGUGCAGAGGGAUGGAGACAAAGUACGAGAAUGCACUUUAUUUGUGACAAGCUUUCCAUCCUGGGCAGCCAAACAGGACAUCCUGCUUCAGUUCUCCUUCCUCUCUUUAAUUAGAGUUGCGUUCAGGACACUGCCGUUAAUGUCGUCUCAGCAUUUCCAUGACAAAGCCCUGUUUUUGCGGGACUUUAGGAACUUGGCCCUAGAAAAAUCUGUUAUUAGCAUAGGACUGCUCAGGCUGGAGACUGUGACAGGUUUGCAGCCAGUUGCUGCGACAUUUCCAUCACAGCUCAGAGCGAGGUGGCCCUGUCCGGGCCGUGGGAGCAGUGGAGGAGACCGAACCCCAUCUCCGGACGCAGUGGGGUUAGCGGUGGGCUGUGCACCCCAGCCCGUGCCCGAGCAAACGUCGCUGUUUCAGAUCUGAAAUGUGGCACUGAAAAAACAACACCCACAUUUCCGAAUCUAUAAGUCAUUGUGGAAACCUCUGUGUUCAAAUAAUUUUAAAAAGCCUGAAAAGGAGACCGAAUUCUCCAGCGAUGGUAUUUUUGCUACCUGGAAUUAGGGCCUGGUUACAGGCCCCCUGGUUGAACUUGCCCCAGAAAUUGGGACCCCUAAAAAUGACUGCAGGAAGAACAGAUCCUCACGGUGUAGCGCACCCUGCCCUCCCCAGCCCGGGGACAUGCUGCCGCAGCUUCCCGCGCCUCCCUGACCUCUGCGGCCGCUGCAAUUUCACGCUGAGCCGUGACACGGAGCAGCGGUGACAGAAAUCACUCGCUUUCCCGCUGGCUUCUUAAUUGCUGCUCUUCCCCUUCGCUUGGGGUGGGCAGCUCAGCUCUCGCAGGGCUGAGGCUAUCGUCGCUGCUCAAUCCCACGCGUUGGAGAAGCUGCUGCAAAUGGUGCCUUGUCAAACCUGCUGUUUGCAACAGCAAAGCAAAUGAGACCAAACGGGGUUGUAAAAGUAAUCAAAGAGGGGCUGAAACCACAGCGGGGCCGUGUGGGA
Long non-coding RNA from Grus americana (Whooping crane), 4246 nucleotides. RefSeq lists it as uncharacterized. The transcript has 2 exons. The record is from RefSeq and is a predicted model, not a curated record. Lineage: Eukaryota; Metazoa; Chordata; Aves; Gruiformes; Gruidae.